GGGCGCUGUUGUACUUUGUAUCUGCAUACCUUUAUAUUAUUUCUGCUUUUCAAUUUAAGUUCAUAUAAGGUGCCAUCAGCUAUUUCAGCAUUUUACCUCCCUGACAUCAUCAUGAAAUAAAUUAAUAGUAAGAGAAAAUAAAGUAAUGAAACCAUUUCUAUAAACAUUUCUCCAUUUGCUGUAUUUCAUAAUGCCUUUAUUCCUGAGAAAAUUACUUGUUCAGUUCUCUCCAUGAGUAUGUCGUCAUGAUGCAAAUGUGUGUCGAAGUAGUAUUUAUGUGCAGCCGAGCUGAGCGGAGCAGUCGAUUCUCAUCAAUGCUCACCAUGAAGAUCCCACUCUCCUUAUUCGUGCUCCUAAUCAGCCUGUGUGUCCACUGUGUGAAAAGCCAGAGUUUGGAGUCUAUUCCUAGUCACGCAGUACUGAGUAAGCCUGGUGGAACUGUCAGCCUCUCUUGUAAGGCUAUAGGAUAUAAUUUUGGAGAUUAUGGCAUGAGCUGGAUACGACAGCCUCGUGGAAAGCCCUUACAGUGGAUUGGGCACAUCAAUACUGCAAGUGGAGAAACAUUCUACAGUAAAAGUCUUGAAGGAAGAAUUGAAAUAACAAAGGAUAACAGUAAAGGCAUUUCAUACUUCAAGUUGUCUGGCCUGACUGUAGAAGACACAGCUGUGUAUCACUGUGCCCGAAAACACAGUGACACAAACAGAUGACAAGGAUGUACAAAAAGUUCAGUUCCUGAAUUUGAUAUACGUCUGUCUUCCUGAAUACAGUGGGCAGACAAUGUCAAAAUAUAACCUCGAAAUAUUAUAGUGUAAAGGCAGGGA
Non-coding RNA from Ictalurus furcatus (blue catfish), 821 nucleotides. The record is from the annotation of a RefSeq genome assembly. Lineage: Eukaryota; Metazoa; Chordata; Actinopteri; Siluriformes; Ictaluridae.